AUUAUAUUACCAUUCAUAACAGUAGCAAAAUUAUAGUUAUGAGGUAGCAAUGGAAAUAAUUUUAUGGUUGGAGGAUCACUACAACGUGAGGAACUAUCUUAAAGGCCUUAGGAAGGUUGGCAACCACUGCUCUGGAAGAUUCUUCACUGGAAUUGAUGUAAACCUGUGGCUCAUCUCUGAGACAAGGAGAGAUAUAUUGAAAAGAAUUUACUGCAGUAGUCCAGCCAUUUCCUGUUUCCACACCAUUCUGUACUUGCUGACUUCACUGUGUUCUUGCUGCCUCGGUGUCUCUUUACUACGUUUCUGAAUGUCACUGCCUUACUGAACAGACUAAUCUCACCAGCCAGCCUCUCAGCCUACCUCUACCUGUUCUCCUCAUUGGCAGACUUCUCCAGAGAGCGCCGGGGAGUACCUGCUGCAGUGAGGUAUCUAACGCCCAUCUCCCUCCUUCACUGGAGUGAAAGCUGCUACUGUUUAAAGAUCAAAUGUUUCCUGAGUGCCUACUGUACGUAGUAUGGUAGUGUGCUGACUGCUAAUGAUUCAAUGGUCA
Molecule: long non-coding RNA, 550 nt
Organism: Apodemus sylvaticus (European woodmouse)
Lineage: Eukaryota; Metazoa; Chordata; Mammalia; Rodentia; Muridae
Exons: 3
Source: RefSeq, a predicted model, not a curated record